CUGACUCGGGCACAGUUCUUUCUCACAAAGUGAAUGAUUAGAGGUCUUGGAGCUGAAACAAUCUCAACCUAUUCUCAAACUUUAAAUGAGUAAGGGACCUGGCUCACAGGCAUGGAGCCUGGUGUGAAAUGUGAGUGCCUAGUGGGCCACUUUUGGUAAGCAGAACUCAUGCCGUAGGAUCAACCA
Molecule: non-coding RNA, 186 nt
Filed under: Equus caballus (horse)
Lineage: Eukaryota; Metazoa; Chordata; Mammalia; Perissodactyla; Equidae
Description: Eukaryotic large subunit ribosomal RNA
Rfam family: Eukaryotic large subunit ribosomal RNA
Source: Rfam by way of RNAcentral